Molecule: unclassified non-coding RNA, 377 nt
Filed under: plant metagenome
Description: partial contains 5.8S ribosomal RNA, internal transcribed spacer 2, and large subunit ribosomal RNA
Rfam family: 5.8S ribosomal RNA (bases 1-104)
Source: RNAcentral
AAAUGCGAUAAGUAAUGUGAAUUGCAGAAUUCAGUGAAUCAUCGAAUCUUUGAACGCACCUUGCGCUCCUUGGUAUUCCUUGGAGCAUGCCUGUUUGAGUAUCAUGAAAUCUUCAAAGUAAACCUUUUGUUAACUCAAUUGGUUUCUACUUUGGUAUUGGAGGUCUUUGCAGCUUCACACCUGCUCCUCUUUGUUCAUUAGCUGGAUCUCAGUGUUAUGCUUGGUUCCACUCGGCGUGAUAAGUUAUCUAUCGCUGAGGACACUGUAAAAGGUGGCCAAGGUAAAUGCAGAUGAACCGCUUCUAAUAGUCCAUUGACUUGGACAAUACUUUUAUGAUCUGAUCUCAAAUCAGGUAGGACUACCCGCUGAACUUAAGC